UCUCGGCGGGAAAGUGAAGCGUCGAAUGUUUUAUUUUAUUUUCUAAAAUUCGUGUUUUGCGACUAUUAAAUCGUAAGUGUGGAUUUAAUGAUCCAUUAUUGACCAUAAUAUGACUGUGUUCGUGAACGUGCAUGAGUGUACACUGUGCAACAUCAGUUUUUAAGUUCCCUCAAGAAGUUCCGCCUCCGGUUUUAGUAAAGUGACACUUUAUUGCUGAAACUCAAAGGGUAUGUAAUUAGAGCGCACGCACUCCAACUCAAUUAGUCUUUGCCCAGCGCUUGCUGCAACGUGACCAUGUUUCAGUGAAGUUUUGCUGUCUGAAAAUAUGCCUGGAUGUGUAAUGCGAUACUGUUCAAACAACACCAGAAACACAAGUAAAAGUCAAGGAGUGACUUUUCACAAGUUUCCAGGGCCGUGUCAUGAAACAAGAGAAUUAUGGAUCAAAUUUGUUCAGAAGAAUCGCAGCGAAGAAACGUGGUUACCUACAGAUCAUUCACGAAUAUGUUCCGUGCAUUUCCGAGAAAACGACAAAUACAAUACCAUAAAGUCGGGAAGAGUAUACUUAAAGAAAUCUGCAGUGCCAUGCGAUAACCCAUCAACAUAUUGUGCUGAACAGGAAGUAACAGAAUCGUUAUCUGAAUCAGUAAGCAGUUCAGAUUCAAUUUUUGAUAGUCCAAGAACAAUUAUAGUUAAAAAUAAAUUACGCAAGCAAUCUGCAGCUUUAAAGAAACUCACUAUAAAAUUUAAGAAAGUACGAAACCAAAAUAUUUAUUUAAAGAAAAAAAUUGAGUCUUAUAAAACAAUUGUAAAAAAAUUGAAAGAGAAAUACGGCCUCAAUUUAAAUGCCGAAUUUAACGGAUAAAACAGAAAUAAAUCUUAUAGAAAAAUAAUAAACAUAAAAGACGUUAUUAUUUCUUAAACACUGCACCUUUACGGAAUUCGCAUUGACAUAAGAGAAUGCUAUAGCAAAGCUUUUCUACAUCCUAAGAGACAAUUUGCAGAUGGUAUUCAACGGUUAAUGCAGAACCCGUUUUCAUAACAGAAGCAUUAAUUUGCAGCCUUGAAGAAGAAAUCCCAAUCCAACGCAAAUUCAAAUAAACCUAUAAUCUGCUCA
Molecule: long non-coding RNA, 1114 nt
Organism: Ostrinia nubilalis (European corn borer)
Lineage: Eukaryota; Metazoa; Arthropoda; Insecta; Lepidoptera; Crambidae
Exons: 4
Source: RefSeq, a predicted model, not a curated record